This 204-nucleotide unclassified non-coding RNA is filed under the name uncultured Russula. RNAcentral describes it as "sequence contains ITS1". Lineage: Eukaryota; Fungi; Basidiomycota; Agaricomycetes; Russulales; Russulaceae. The record is from RNAcentral.
UCGUACAACCAAGGCGCGGAGGGCUGUCGCUGACUUUUGCCGUGCACGCCCGAAGCGCUCUCACACAAUAUCCAUCUCACCCAUUUGUGCAUCAUCGCGUGGGUCCUGCUUUUUGGCUCGUUCCAAGGAGGGGGGCUCGCAUUUUCACACAAAACACCCUUUUAAUGCAGUGUAGAAUGUUCUUGCGAUGACUCGCAAUAAAUA